This 262-nucleotide ribosomal RNA is filed under the name uncultured archaeon. RNAcentral describes it as "partial 16S ribosomal RNA". It matches the Rfam family "Archaeal small subunit ribosomal RNA", at positions 748 to 1008 of the family's 1478-position model. The record is from RNAcentral.
CAGCCGUAAACAAUGUGCGUUAGGUGUGUCGGUAACCACGCGUUACUGAUGCGCCGAAGAGAAAUCGUGAAACGCACCACCUGGGAAGUACGGUCGCAAGGCUGAAACUUAAAGGAAUUGGCGGGGGGAGCACCACAACAGGUGGAGCCUGCGGUUUAAUUGGAUUCAACGCCGGACAUCUCACCGGAUAAGACAGCUGAGUGAUUGUCAAUCUGAAGGUUUUACAUGACUAGCUGAGAGGAGGUGCAUGGCGUCAGUGACU